Molecule: ribosomal RNA, 1401 nt
Filed under: Methylomonas sp. LWB
Lineage: Bacteria; Pseudomonadati; Pseudomonadota; Gammaproteobacteria; Methylococcales; Methylococcaceae
Description: bacterial LSU rRNA
Rfam family: Bacterial large subunit ribosomal RNA
Source: RNAcentral
GCCGUUCAUCAAGCCUGAGAGGUGACGCAUAGCCGAAUGAGGCGAAUUCAGUGAUCCUAUGCUGCCGAGAAAAGCCUCUAGCGAGCUUUCACACGGCCCGUACCCCAAACCGACACAGGUGGUCAGGUAGAGAAUACUAAGGCGAUCGAGAUAACUAUGGUUAAGGAACUCGGCAAAAUGCCCCCGUAACUUCGGGAGAAGGGGGGCCUCGUCCGGUGAUCACUCUUGCAGUGUGAGCUGGGUGGGGCCGCAGAGACCAGUGAGAAGCGACUGUUUACUAAAAACACAGGUCCGUGCGAAGUCGUAAGACGAUGUAUACGGACUGACGCCUGCCCGGUGCUGGAAGGUUAAGAGGACCGGUUAGCCAGCAAUGGCGAAGCUGAGAAUUUAAGCCCCAGUAAACGGCGGUGGUAACUAUAACCAUCCUAAGGUAGCGAAAUUCCUUGUCGGGUAAGUUCCGACCUGCACGAAUGGCGUAACGACUUCUCAGCUGUCUCAACCAUAGACUCGGCGAAAUUGCAUUACGAGUAAAGAUGCUCGUUACGCGCGGCAGGACGAAAAGACCCCGGGACCUUCACUACAGCUUGGUAUUGGUGUUCGGUUCGGUUUGUGUAGGAUAGGUGGGAGACUGUGAAGCGCUCACGCCAGUGAGUGUGGAGUCGUUGUUGAAAUACCACUCUGAUCGUAUUGGACCUCUAACCUCGGACCAUGAUCUGGUUCAGGGACAGUGCCUGGUGGGUAGUUUAACUGGGGCGGUUGCCUCCCAAAAUGUAACGGAGGCGCCCAAAGGUUCCCUCAGCCUGGUUGGCAAUCAGGUGUCGAGUGCAAGUGCACAAGGGAGCUUGACUGUGAGACUGACAGGUCGAGCAGGGACGAAAGUCGGGACUAGUGAUCCGGCACCGGCAAGUGGAAGCGGUGUCGCUCAACGGAUAAAAGGUACCCCGGGGAUAACAGGCUGAUCUUCCCCAAGAGUCCAUAUCGACGGGAUGGUUUGGCACCUCGAUGUCGGCUCGUCGCAUCCUGGGGCUGGAGUAGGUCCCAAGGGUUGGGCUGUUCGCCCAUUAAAGCGGCACGCGAGCUGGGUUUAGAACGUCGUGAGACAGUUCGGUCUCUAUCCGCCGCGCGCGUAAGAAACUUGAGGAAGGCUGUCCCUAGUACGAGAGGACCGGGACGGACGAACCUCUGGUGUGCCAGUUGUUCCACCAGGAGCACCGCUGGUUAGCUACGUUCGGAAGGGAUAACCGCUGAAAGCAUCUAAGCGGGAAGCCUGUUCCAAGAUGAGGUUUCUCACCCCCUCGAGGGGGUAAGGCCCCCGGCAGACCACCGGGUUGAUAGGCCAGAACUGGAAGUCCGGUAACGGAUGCAGGUGACUGGUACUAAUAGGCCGAGGACUUACCACAA